UUUUGGAGCCAUGUCCACAGACUCUGCUCGAGAUGUGUUCGAUCCAUGUGGAGAGAAUACUUUACCAAGGUCUCAAGAUUAAUCAAAGUAUGUAUAGACUGACUUCGACAUCCGAUCAUUAAAAAAAAAAAAAGAAGUUAUUGUUAGAAAAAUGGAGAGAGUGCUCACACUUUGAAUUGCCACAAUUAGAAAAUGAGUGUGAAAGAGAAAUUCAAAUGAAAAUUAGAGAACCAAACUACUAUUUUAUCAAAUGCAAAUUAAUCACAUUUUCUUUUCCUAUAUAUUUUUCUCCCUCCCAUCCAAACAGUACAAAAAUAAUAUUUUACAUAACAAAAGCAAGCCACUGGUCAAAUAAAGGCAAUAGACGCCACACACACAUAUAUAUAUAUAUAUAUAUAUAUAUAAUAUACACACAAAUCGAAUCUACCCCAGAUGGCUGCGUCAAUGAGUAAUGUUUGCAACGGAGACGUACUACUUUUACCUUCUUUAUGUAUAUAACACAUAGUUUUUACUUACAACGACUUGGAUAAAAUGCUCAGACUCAUGAAUCAGAGUUUCUCUGUUUAUAUCCUACCUCUGAUAUUCUUGCUCAGUACAUAUAUAUUGCAGUCCCAUCAAAAUCUCCUCCAUUCAAUCCUACUUCAACAUCAUCACUCAGGAUAAAAUCGGGGUUGAUCUUAUUGGUUUUGUUAAAUUAUUUGAUGGGAUCAUACAAGGAAGAAGAGAACAGAGAUGGGAUUAGCUACAACAGAUUUAGGAAGAUAGUGAAGGCAUGCGUAGCUUGCUUGGCUUCAUUCUUGAUAAGCAUGGUUGGAGGGUUGAUCUUGGUUUGGUGGGUAGUGAAGCAUCAUCACUCAAAUACCCAGCUUUGGAUGGUCCCUGUUGGUCUCAUUAUUUUCAUCACACCGGUCAUCGUCUUCUUCUCCACCUUCAUUUCUGAUCUCUGUAAACCUAAAGAAGCCGGUGUUUCGCGCCUCAACCACCCCGUUAUGCCCUUGGAUAACUCAGUUGGUGACCCAGAAAGAUGAUGAUCCAAGAAAAUAUCACAAUAAUCAACUCUCUUCCACCACUCUUUUUUUUUUUUUUUUAAAUAUUUUUUUGUGGGUUUUGUUGCUACAAUAUCACAACUUGUAAUGCAUUGCUUAUAUGUGAGUUAUAAAAGACAAAGUAUGCUGAUUAUUGCCGA
Long non-coding RNA from Camellia sinensis, 1186 nucleotides. RefSeq lists it as uncharacterized. The record is from RefSeq and is a predicted model, not a curated record. Lineage: Eukaryota; Viridiplantae; Streptophyta; Magnoliopsida; Ericales; Theaceae.